Molecule: RNA transcript, 1140 nt
Organism: Dioscorea cayenensis subsp. rotundata (Guinea yam)
Lineage: Eukaryota; Viridiplantae; Streptophyta; Magnoliopsida; Dioscoreales; Dioscoreaceae
Exons: 5
Source: RefSeq, a predicted model, not a curated record
AAAGAAGAGGCGGUGGAGUCGAGAGAGAGAGAGAGAGAGAUCCAGCGAGGGAGUAUAUAAGGAAUCAGAGAGCAGAGGAAUUCCUCUCGAUCUCUGAUUUCUGAUCUCUCUCUUGGAUUUCUAUGCCCUAUUUAGGGUUUUUUUUGGUCUCUUGAUGAUCGAUCUCCUGGUGAUUCAACAAGUAGGGCUUGUGAUUUGAGCCGAAGUUUUGAGAUCUAGCGAAGUUGGGUGAUUUACUUUUGAUUCGUCAUCGGAUAUUUCAAGGAUGGAGAAUUUCCCACUUAGAUAUAGUGCAUUUGGACAAGUACAUCCUGAUCUUAUUGUGCCUAGCGUGACUAGAGGUGAAAUCCUCUGUCCUGAACCUCGCCGUGCUAAAAGAAUCCCUUUUGUCUUAGAGAAUUAUGGCAGGAUCAGUCCCAAGCCUAAGAGAAAAUAAGGUUUAUUAUUAGAUGGAUUUCCAAAUAUUGCUGGCUCCACCUGAAUUUCCAGAUGGUUGGCCGACAUUAUUUUACCUGUGCCUAGGAAGGAGAGUGUUUUGGAGGUUUUGGAUGCGAUACUAGAUAAGGAUGAAUACAAUGAAAAUGAUUUAGAUUCCAGUAACCAAGCGAGUUUCUUUUGCGGAUCACCACCACCACGGACGAGCAAUCCAGUAGUCAACGAUGCACAAUUUAUGAACCAAACCCGGGCAGUAGCUUCGCCUUCAGGAUUUUACUGUGAUAUGAAGCCUUCGGCAAGAAUCAAAAGAGGUUCCCCUACUUGUGGGUCUUCAAAAGACACAAAUCCGAAACUAACGAUUGAAGGUUUCGCUUGCAGGAGUCCAGACUCUCGUGGUGUAGUCCCGCCGGCAUUUGCCUGAUUAUCUUGGAAACUAUCUUUUACCUCCUGUAAAAAAUUUUGACAGCCCUGCUUUGGUCCUGAGAUCUCCAUUGCAUCUAUACCCUUCACACAGCAUUCAUUUAGCCAGCCUGUACAUACCACCAAGUUCUUGUAAAUACUAGUCCUGUCUAUAGUGGUUUUAUGAGUUGUUUGUGCUGCUCAUAAUGUUUAAAGCUAGAUUGAGUUGUGAUCAUGUAUAUGAAGUGUCCUUUUUGUAAAUAGUGGAAUUUGUGAAGAUUUGAGUUUAGAGCCUUCUGUUCAUAA